UGGGGAAUUUUGGACAAUGGGCGAAAGCCUGAUCCAGCCAUGCCGCGUGAGUGAAGAAGGCCUUCGGGUUGUAAAGCUCUUUUAGUCGGAAAGAAAGAGUUGCAAUGAAUAAUUGUGAUUUAUGACGGUACCGACAGAAAAAGCACCGGCUAACUACGUGCCAGCAGCCGCGGUAAUACGUAGGGUGCGAGCGUUAAUCGGAAUUACUGGGUGUAAAGGGUGCGCAGGCGGUCUUGCAAGUCAGAUGUGAAAGCCCCGGGCUUAACCUGGGAAUUGCGUUUGAAACUACAAGGCUAGAGUGCAGCAGAGGGGAGUGGAAUUCCAUGUGUAGCAGUGAAAUGCGUAGAGAUGUGGAAGAACACCGAUGGCGAAGGCAGCUCCCUGGGUUGACACUGACGCUCAUGCACGAAAGCGUGGGGAGCAAACA
Molecule: ribosomal RNA, 427 nt
Filed under: uncultured bacterium
Lineage: Bacteria
Description: bacterial SSU rRNA
Rfam family: Bacterial small subunit ribosomal RNA
Source: RNAcentral